Molecule: long non-coding RNA, 1394 nt
Organism: Pleuronectes platessa (European plaice)
Lineage: Eukaryota; Metazoa; Chordata; Actinopteri; Pleuronectiformes; Pleuronectidae
Exons: 2
Source: RefSeq, a predicted model, not a curated record
GAGAUGCUAAUCUGCGGUGCCCCUGCAGGGCUGCAUGGAAGCUAACUGACUAUUCAACUAGCAUCCCAGCUGUUAUAGUUCUUCGUGAAACGUCAUCCAGCAGUUCACACCUGCUUUGCUUGAUAAGUGUUGACAACGGAGGCAGCAAACACUAAAACAGUCGCUACUUCCUGACAGUUCGAAGUUAACUUCCAUCAAACACUUGCAGCUAAACGACCCCCCCGACCGGUAACCAUUGAAGCUGUCGCUAAAAGCAGUAACCACUUACAAACAGGAGAGGUCAGCAAUGCUCUAUUUCUGCGGACCGGCCUCCUGGCUGUUGAUUGUCAGUCCGUGGCCUGGAGACGCCACAUUUCGAGGUCGGGAUCACCUACAAAACCGCAGCCCUGGAGCCAGAGGACCUGGACCAUGGACACAUCAGCAGGACAGUGCUUAGCUGCACACUUGUCAGGAGGUGUUGUAGCAAAGCCAUGCAGUCAGUGGGACCGUUAACAUUUCCUGGUAUGAAAUCCAACAUAAAUACUCAAAAUGUUCUGAGUCGUCAAAAACGACUCAGAACAUUUUGUACUUUUGAGAAAUAAACAAAUUACAGUUUUGUUUGUAUACAGGCUACAAUCCAGACAACUCAACCCGGGCAGCCAGAAAAUCCCUGUCACUCCAGACCUGCUGAUAAAGCAGUACUGAAAAUGUAGAGAAUAAGAGGCAACCAUGGGAUGUACACACAGACAUGAUAAACCCCUGAAGAGAAUCGGUAUUGACAAUGUGAUGUGUGGAUUUUGUGAAAUUGCUCAAAUGGCCAAUUUGCUUCUGGAGACCAGCUGGGAUUUUUGAGAUAAAAAUAGUUGCUAAUCCAGACAGUUCAAACAUUUUAAGCAUUUAUGGAUAAAUAGUAAUACAACAAUGAUGUUUUUCAUCUGUUGCUAAAUGGAAUUGCAGUUUCUAAGCUUUUUGUUGUGAGACUGCACUGAUUUCAGGGGGGCUAUUUCAAUUGUAUGUGGUAAAAAGAUGUUGAUGUUGAAUAACUUGUUUCCUCUUCCACCUGCAGUGCAUCUGUUUUGACUCUUAGUGUCUUCAUUUCACUAGCGAUGGAACAAUUGUCUUUGCACCUUCAUCCCGUGCAUCUGCUUUUUCCUUGAAGCUGUUCAGUAAAAAACACCCUUUUCUUUUGCAAGUUAUAAUUGGUUCAUUGUGGCAUUUUCGAUUACAAGAUUCCCUUUGCUGUUCUGUGUUGCGUUUUUAUAGGAUGCCAUCGAUGAAAAGGACAGAUGUUGCUGAAUAAGAGCCAACAAUCCUGAUCUUGUGCAAAGCAAGGUCUAACAUGAAAUAUUGGCUUGCCAAAAGAUUGAGUGAUGAGGUUUUUAUAUGAGGAAAUAAAAUGGAAAUGUUUGUCUGUU